RNAcentral lists this small nuclear RNA (114 nucleotides) under Physeter macrocephalus (sperm whale). RNAcentral describes it as "Physeter catodon (sperm whale) U2 spliceosomal RNA (ENSPCTG00005002241.1)". It matches the Rfam family "U2 spliceosomal RNA". From Rfam's summary of the family: U2 is a small nuclear RNA (snRNA) component of the spliceosome (involved in pre-mRNA splicing). Lineage: Eukaryota; Metazoa; Chordata; Mammalia; Artiodactyla; Physeteridae. The record is from Rfam by way of RNAcentral.
ACCGCUUCUCGGCCUUUUGGCUAAGAUCAAGUGUAGUAACAGUGACUAUAAUGAAUAGUUAAUUGUUUUAAGAAAAGCAAUUAAAAAAUUGAGCCGAUACUUAAUCUACCCAAU